This 419-nucleotide ribosomal RNA is filed under the name uncultured Prevotella sp. Its description in RNAcentral is "bacterial SSU rRNA". It matches the Rfam family "Bacterial small subunit ribosomal RNA", at positions 358 to 774 of the family's 1533-position model. The record is from RNAcentral. Lineage: Bacteria; Pseudomonadati; Bacteroidota; Bacteroidia; Bacteroidales; Prevotellaceae.
GGAAUAUUGGUCAAUGGGCGAGAGCCUGAACCAGCCAAGUAGCGUGCAGGAUGACGGCCCUAUGGGUUGUAAACUGCUUUUAUAUGGGGAUAAAGUGAGGGACGUGUCCCUUUUUGUAGGUACCAUAUGAAUAAGGACCGGCUAAUUCCGUGCCAGCAGCCGCGGUAAUACGGAAGGUCCGGGCGUUAUCCGGAUUUAUUGGGUUUAAAGGGAGCGCAGGCUGAUUGUUAAGCGUGACGUGAAAUGUAGCCGCUCAACGGCUGAACUGCGUCGCGAACUGGCAGUCUUGAGUGAGUACGACGUCAGCGGAAUUCGUGGUGUAGCGGUGAAAUGCUUAGAUAUCACGAAGAACCCCGAUUGCGAAGGCAGCCUUCUGGGGCAUGAUUGACGCUGAGGCUCGAAAGCGCGGGAAUCAAACA